GGGAAAGCAGGAUUCGAGCCUUUAAAAAUCCUCACCCAUUUAAUUUGUCCUCUAUUAUUCUUGCCUCUCGAUUUUAUUCUUGAUGAUAUUGCAAAGUUAAGGAAGUUAGUGCCCCCAACGCGUGAUGAUCCUAAUAGGUUUCCAAAGUUCAUCUUCAAAAUGAUGAUGAGCCAUCUUGAAAACAAGGAUAGUGAUGCUGGUGGUGAAGACGUCGGGACAUCGAUCUGAGAGGAGGAGCAGUCGGAGGUGGAUGUUAUGGAUCUGGAUGAGGAUCCUCAAUUAUGGCCAGAAGAGCUGUAUGAUGAGUAUUACAAAGAGGAACAGGAGAAGAUGCGGAAGGGGUUAGAGAAGUUGCUUUUGAAGAUGGGGAAGCGAUUGGACGAAAUUUGUCGAAGAAGACAAGUAACAGAGACGUCAAGUGUGGCUUGGCUUGAAUACGUCUAGUAUUUUUCAUGUUCUGAAUAAAUUAAUUCAUGCUGACUCAGAAAAGGAAUUGUUUUCCCAUUCCAUCUGUUCUAGAUAUGUUUUUCUUUUGUUGCAUUUUUAUUAAAGUCUUGGAAACGA
This is a non-coding RNA of Prunus mume (Japanese apricot), 564 nucleotides long. Lineage: Eukaryota; Viridiplantae; Streptophyta; Magnoliopsida; Rosales; Rosaceae. The record is from RefSeq and is a predicted model, not a curated record.